RNAcentral lists this ribosomal RNA (653 nucleotides) under Arrenurus manubriator. RNAcentral describes it as "partial large subunit ribosomal RNA". It matches the Rfam family "Eukaryotic large subunit ribosomal RNA", at positions 104 to 623 of the family's 3401-position model. Lineage: Eukaryota; Metazoa; Arthropoda; Arachnida; Trombidiformes; Arrenuridae. The record is from RNAcentral.
AGCCCAGCGUGAAGGCUUUAUCACUCCGGUGUUAAAGCGGUGCCACGUUAGUGACUUGUCAUAAUGCUUUGCUGAAGCUUCGUGAAUGCUUUUGAAUAAGCUUCAUUUCAGCCAUAGAGGGUGCAAGCCCCUUGGCGUUGUGGAAGCAAAGCAUAGACUUGUCAUGAUAGAGUCGGGUUGCUUGAAAGUGCAACCUAAAGUAGAUGGUAAGCUCCAUCUAAGGCUAAAUAUCGCUGUGAGACCGAUAGCAAACAAGUACCGUGAGGGAAAGUUGCAAAGAACUUUGAAGAGAGAGUUCAAUAGGACGUGAAACCGUUUGCAGGUAAACAGAUGGACCCACGAAGUCCGGUUGAUCAGAGAAUUCAAAUUUUGCAAUUUGUUCUCUACUGGUUGUGACCUUUCUUGCGAAGGAAAUGGCUGGUGUGAGUGCUUUUGCGAGAUGCAUUUUUUCUGAUCACGAUGGAGCUCUGACUGCUAAGUGUCUUUCGCUGUGUAGGGCUGCUUCGAACUGAGAGAUGAUCCUUAGGGUUCAAUUCUUCAGUUUGAGGUUAUCAGUGAAGUCACUUCGAGCGGUUGAAUAACUUACUUCGGUGAGUGUUCAGGUUGUCGAUGUCUGUUUUUGAGCAGUGCGUAUAAGUAUCUAUUCUUUCGGC